Molecule: ribosomal RNA, 484 nt
Filed under: uncultured bacterium
Lineage: Bacteria
Description: partial 16S ribosomal RNA
Rfam family: Bacterial small subunit ribosomal RNA
Source: RNAcentral
AGUGAACGCUGGCGGCGUGCUUAACACAUGCAAGUCGAACGAGAACGGAUUAUAGCUUGCUAUAAUUGUCAGCUAAGUGGCGCACGGGUGAGUAAUGUAUAGGUAAUAUGCCUCUUACUAAGGGAUAACAAAUGGAAACGUUUGCUAAUACCUUAUACUCCUUAUUAACAGAAGUUAAUAAGGGAAAGAUUUAUUGGUAAGAGAUUAGCCUGUAUUGUAUCAGUUAGUUGGUGGGGUAAUGGCUUACCAAGACUAUGACACAUAACUGGUUUGUGAGGAGGGACAGUCACACUGGGACUGAGAGACGGUCAAGAGUCCUACGGGAGGCAGCAGUGGGGAGUAUUGCACAAUGGACGAAAGUCUGAUGCAGCAACGCCGCGUGGAGAAUGACACAUGUCGGUGCGUAAACUCCUUUUAUAUGAGAAGAUAAUGACGGUAUUAUAUGAAUAAGCACCGGCUAACUCCGUGCCAGCCGCCGUAAAAC